RNAcentral lists this ribosomal RNA (497 nucleotides) under Platypleura pinheyi. Its description in RNAcentral is "partial 16S ribosomal RNA". The stretch from base 371 to 497 matches the Rfam family "Archaeal large subunit ribosomal RNA", at positions 2542 to 2669 of the family's 2987-position model. Lineage: Eukaryota; Metazoa; Arthropoda; Insecta; Hemiptera; Cicadidae. The record is from RNAcentral.
AAAAUUAAAGGUCUAAUCUGCCCAAUGAUAUUUGAAUGGCCGCGGUAAUUUGACCGUGCAAAGGUAGCAUAAUAAUUAGUCUUUUAAUUGAAGGCUUGAAUGAAAGAUUGGAUGAAAAAUAAACUUUAUUAGUAUAAAUUAUUUAACUUAUCAUUUAAGUAAAAAUUCUUAAAUACAUAAGUGGGACGAGAAGACCCUAUAGAGUUUUAUUUUCAUUUAUAUUAUUAAAUUAAAGAAUUAGUAUUUUUAUAAUAUAAAUGAAUUUUUUAUUGGGGUGAUAUUAAAAAUUAAGAAACUUUUAAUUAAUAUUUCAUUAAUAUAUGUAUUUUGAUCCAAAAAGAUUUUGAUUAUAAGAUUAAAUUACCUUAGGGAUAACAGCGUUAUUAAUUUGAAGAGUUCUAAUCGAUAAAUUAGUUUGCGACCUCGAUGUUGGAUUAAGAAUAAAUUUUGAAGUAGCAUUUAAAAUUAUGGGUCUGUUCGACCCUUAAAUUCUUACG